This 253-nucleotide ribosomal RNA is filed under the name uncultured bacterium. RNAcentral describes it as "partial 16S ribosomal RNA". It matches the Rfam family "Bacterial small subunit ribosomal RNA", at positions 524 to 776 of the family's 1533-position model. The record is from RNAcentral.
UACGUAGGGGGCAAGCGUUAUCCGGAUUUACUGGGUGUAAAGGGAGCGUAGACGGUUUAGCAAGUCAGAAGUGAAAGCCCGGGGCUCAACUCCGGGACUGCUUUUGAAACUGUUGAACUAGAUUGCAGGAGAGGUAAGUGGAAUUCCUAGUGUAGCGGUGAAAUGCGUAGAUAUUAGGAGGAACACCAGUGGCGAAGGCGGCUUACUGGACUGUAACUGACGUUGAGGCUCGAAAGCGUGGGGAGCAAACAGG